AUGCUCAAUAUUGUUCAUGCGACUGUGUAUGAAUCUUCUGUACGUGCAGAUUAUCAGGCAUUGUUUAAUGCUGCCGAGGGUGUAACAGAGAAAAAUCAGUUUGAUGUACGGAUGCUUCAUGCGAUGGUAGCUAAUGAUCUCUGUACUGAUGACAGUUUUGUGGAUCUAAUGUCGUCGAGGUGGCUGCUUCUCUUACCGAAGAUCAGAAGAAGCCUGGAUAUGUGCACCAAGUUUUAG
Molecule: ribosomal RNA, 237 nt
Filed under: Triticum aestivum (bread wheat)
Lineage: Eukaryota; Viridiplantae; Streptophyta; Magnoliopsida; Poales; Poaceae
Description: partial small subunit ribosomal RNA
Source: RNAcentral